GCCCCUGUGGCCUAAUGGCUAAGGCGUCUGACUUCUAUCUAUGGCAUGAAGAUGCUACGGGUUGUGUAUCAGAAGAUUGCGAGUUCGAUCCUCGCCAGGGGUU
Fusarium oxysporum is the source of this 103-nucleotide transfer RNA. It matches the Rfam family "tRNA". Rfam says of the family: Transfer RNA (tRNA) molecules are approximately 80 nucleotides in length. NCBI's taxonomy places the organism in Eukaryota, Fungi, Ascomycota, Sordariomycetes, Hypocreales, Nectriaceae. The record is from Rfam.